GCCUUCGUGGUGUAGUGGUCAGCACACACAGCGCGUAUUCGAGAGGUCCGUGGUUCGAGUCUUUGCGAGGGCA
Molecule: non-coding RNA, 73 nt
Organism: Stegodyphus mimosarum
Lineage: Eukaryota; Metazoa; Arthropoda; Arachnida; Araneae; Eresidae
Source: Rfam